RNAcentral lists this ribosomal RNA (492 nucleotides) under uncultured bacterium. RNAcentral describes it as "partial 16S ribosomal RNA". It matches the Rfam family "Bacterial small subunit ribosomal RNA", at positions 29 to 507 of the family's 1533-position model. The record is from RNAcentral.
AGUGAACGCUGGCGGUAGGCCUAACACAUGCAAGUCGAACGGCAGCACAGUAAGAGCUUGCUCUUACGGGUGGCGAGUGGCGGACGGGUGAGGAAUACAUCGGAAUCUACUUUUUCGUGGGGGAUAACGUAGGGAAACUUACGCUAAUACCGCAUACGACCUACGGGUGAAAGCAGGGGAUCUUCGGACUUUGCGCGAUUGAAUGAGCCGAAGUCGGAUUAGCUAGUUGGCGGGGUAAAGGCCCACCAAGGCGACGAUCCGUAGCUGGUCUGAGAGGAUGAUCAGCCACACUGGAACUGAGACACGGUCCAGACUCCUACGGGAGGCAGCAGUGGGGAAUAUUGGACAAUGGGCGCAAGCCUGAUCCAGCCAUACCGCGUGGGUGAAGAAGGCCUUCGGGUUGUAAAGCCCUUUUGUUGGGAAAGAAAAGCAGCAGGUUAAUACCCCGCUGUUCUGACGGUACCCAAAGAAUAAGCACCGGCUAACUUCGUG